RNAcentral lists this ribosomal RNA (488 nucleotides) under uncultured bacterium. RNAcentral describes it as "partial 16S ribosomal RNA". It matches the Rfam family "Bacterial small subunit ribosomal RNA", at positions 30 to 507 of the family's 1533-position model. The record is from RNAcentral.
AUUGAACGCUGGCGGCAUGCUUUACACAUGCAAGUCGAACGGCAGCACAGGGAGCUUGCUCCUGGGUGGCGAGUGGCGAACGGGUGAGUAAUGUAUCGGAACGUGCCUGGUAGUGGGGGAUAACUACUCGAAAGAGUGGCUAAUACCGCAUGAGAUCUUUGGAUGAAAGCGGGGGACCUUCGGGCCUCGUGCUACUGGAGCGGCCGAUAUCAGAUUAGGUUGUUGGUGGGGUAAAGGCCUACCAAGCCUGCAAUCUGUAGCUGGUCUGAGAGGACGACCAGCCACACUGGGACUGAGACACGGCCCAGACUCCUACGGGAGGCAGCAGUGGGGAAUUUUGGACAAUGGGCGCAAGCCUGAUCCAGCAAUGCCGCGUGCAGGACGAAGGCCUUCGGGUUGUAAACUGCUUUUGUACAGAACGAAAAGUCUCUGGCUAAUAUCUAGAGAUCAUGACGGUACUGUAAGAAUAAGCACCGGCUAACUACGUG